Molecule: long non-coding RNA, 554 nt
Organism: Ictalurus punctatus (channel catfish)
Lineage: Eukaryota; Metazoa; Chordata; Actinopteri; Siluriformes; Ictaluridae
Source: Ensembl
CCAACACCAGUUCCACCACCAUGUCCACCACCACAUCCAACACCACAUCCAAGACCACAUAAACCACCAGGUCCAACACCAUGCCCACCACAUCCAGCACCAUGUCCAACACCACAUCCAACACCUCAUGCACCACCAGGUCCAACACCACAUGCACCACCAGGUCCACCACCUCAACCACCACAUCCACCACCAUGUCCAACACCAUGUCCAACACCAUGUCCACCACCACAUCAAACACUACUUAAACCACCACAUCCAGCACCAGGUCCAACACCACAUCCAACACCACUUACACCACCAGGUCCAACACCACGUCCACCACCAUAUUCACCACCACAUCCAGCACCAUAUCCAGCACCAUAUCCACCACCAGGUCCAAUACCAUAUCCACCACCAUGUCCACCACCACAUACACCACCAGGUCCAACACCACAUCCAACACCACAUCAAAGACCACAUACACCACCACAUCCAACACCAGGUCCAACACCACAUCCAACACUUCAUACACACCAGGUCCAAUACCACAUACACCACCAAGUCCAACACCA